This 2492-nucleotide unclassified non-coding RNA is filed under the name Hevea brasiliensis (rubber tree). The record is from RNAcentral. Lineage: Eukaryota; Viridiplantae; Streptophyta; Magnoliopsida; Malpighiales; Euphorbiaceae.
GACAGAGAUAGAAGAGAUUUCUGAUUCAUAUAUAUACAUUCAGUAAAUAGAUAUAAGUAUAUAGCGCGGUAAAGGGUGAGACGGAAUGGCGAAGAAGAAAGCAACCAUGACUCUUAAAGACUUCCAUGGUGGUUCUAUUCCUUCAGAUCUUCCAUUACCUUCUGCCCCUGGCGUAAUGAUAAGACCAUCGGAUCGUGGUGGUUUUGAUCGCCAAGCAUCAUGGGGAAACCCCAUGGGAAGACCAGAGCAUCGUUUACGUCCGGGAUCAGCUGGUGCAACCAGAAACUUUGACGAGAAGACUCCUUUCUUAAGUCAUAAUGCACCAAUCGGCCGUAAUUUUGAUGAGGAUGAGAGGAAGCCAUUGGAUGGAUCAUCUGGACCUCGUCGAACUGUUAGUGAUGAGAGUAUCCGUGCAUUGCCAAGUCGUGUGGAGCCUAAGGCAGAAUACUCUGUUACUGGGAUGGUAGGUAGUGGGCAAGUAUCAGCUCCUCCGUCUCAAAAUCCUAGAGGCCCAGCAAGUUGGUUCAAUGAAUCGACUAGUGUGGGAGCGAGUACUAAAGGUUCUGCUGGUGGUAGCGGCAGGAGCGUGAAUUCUCGGAAUGUGUCUGCAAGUAGUGCUCAAGUUGUUGCUGGGUCAUACCCAAAUGCAUGGGGCCUAAGGAAGGAGGUGGCAAGUGCAAAGGAAUCAGUUUCAGCUCCAUGGUCUGCUCCUGACGCUGAGUCGAAGUUGGCCCAUGCCAGUGCCCUUGAGAAGGUCACAUCUGGCAGGUGGCAUUCAAAGCAGCAGGUUCAUUCUCAAACGGAUGUUGAGGUUGUUAAACGUCAAGACACAGAGAAAGAAUUAUAUUACCAUGGAAGUACUACAGUCAACGAUAGUGUCUACAACAUGCCAGAUGUCGUGGGAGGACCCGAAUACAGUGAUCAGGUGCUAGCGGUUCAUGCUGAAAGAAAUCUUGUUCUUACAGACGGGGUUCACGGGUUUUACAAGGAGUUACCAGCACGGGAGAGGGCCAGGUCCCCUUUAUUCAUGGAGGCAAAUGAGAGAAGAACUUCUUCUAAUAUUACUGGGUUACAACGGCCCCAUAAUGUUGUUAGCUCUGGUGGAUACGAGAUGCAGUCACCAGCAUCUUCUGAACCAUCUGAGCGGCCCAAAUUAAAGUUGCUACCAAGAUCCAAACCAUUGGAGAGUCUGGAGCAGUCCGUAGAUUAUAAGCAGGUCAACCAGCAUCCAAGUAACCCUGUUCAUGUUGAGAAAUUGGCCGAUGCAUAUCCCACCAUAGAUCCCACCAAGACUGGGUUCGUUGAACAUGAAAGAAGCAAUCAAGUAACUGAACGCCCAAAAUUGAACUUGAAGCCUCGGUCUCAGCUUCUUGAACAAUCGGACGGAAACACAGAAAAUAAAAGGAAACCAUUAUUUGGGGGUGCUCGUCCACGUGAAAUGGUACUGCAGAAUCGUGGGAUUGAUGAUGUUAUGCAUAAUCAUGACCUUCAGCAACCUCAUCCUAGGGGCAAACAACAUGCUGGCAAAGCAGAGGCAGCUAUGCAUGCGACCAGACAUAAUGAGAAAACAGAGAGUAUUCCGAUUGACCAUAGGAUGGCGAAGAGCGCAGAUAGGCGAGAUCACAGGAUAGAUGUCGAGAAAGGAGAUGGGCAGAGGAGGAAUUGGAGAAAGGAGAACUGGAGGAACAACAAGGAGACUGAAAGGCACCACCACCACCAUCACCCGCAGCAACAUGUACAGGAAAGGCCGCCGUCACCAGAAACGUGGCGCAAACCUGUUGAAUCUCCAAGACCUGCUUCUGCUGAUGCUCCUGGUAUGAGGUAUGGAAAAGCAGCCUCUGCAGUUGAGCUGGCUGCAGCCUUUUCAAAAUCGGUCUCCGAUCCAGCAACUGCAACUGAUCGUUUUUCUAGUCAGAAAAGCCUUCCUAAUCGAGGUCAAAUCCCUUUUUCUCGAUUGACAGGCCCUCAGCAGAGGCCUCAGAUUAAUGGGUACUAAGCUCCCAAAGAUUAGCGAAUGAAAAAUGUCUUAUCAUUGCUAAUUUGCUUAAUGGGCUGCAACAGAAGUGUUGCUUGCAGCAUGAAUACCAAGAUGUGGGUAGUCAUUGUUACCCGUGCUAUAGGCUAGCAACAAAUUUAAUGAUCUUGCUGCUGAAAAUCUAGAAUCUGAUUCUUCACCUUUUAGACCUAACACCUUCAACCUUGAGAAACUCUUCCUUUUCUUUUACAUCUUUUUAGUUUGAUAAUAAUCAUCGGGGAUGAUGUUUGUUCCCUUUAUAGAUGAUUUAUUUCUCAGAAAGAAUUUCUGAUUUGAAGCCUGAUGGGCAUAAACAAAUGAUUGUAUACUUUUGGAGGUGUUCGACAUUUCAUGGUGAAUGCCGUCUGUUAUCUGAUUGAUGGUCUAGUUUAGUUUAGAAACAGAAUCGUUCUAUGCAUCGAGCCUAGAAACAGAAUCGUCUGUUAUUUGUCUUGCAGUAUUACAAUCUUGCGAUGCC